This 404-nucleotide ribosomal RNA is filed under the name Verrucomicrobiota bacterium. RNAcentral's name for it is "Verrucomicrobia bacterium partial 16S ribosomal RNA". It matches the Rfam family "Bacterial small subunit ribosomal RNA", at positions 355 to 776 of the family's 1533-position model. Lineage: Bacteria; Pseudomonadati; Verrucomicrobiota. The record is from RNAcentral.
UGGGGAAUAUUGGACAAUGGGCGAAAGCCUGAUCCAGCCAUGCCGCGUGAGUGAUGAAGGCCCUAGGGUUGUAAAGCUCUUUCACCGGUGAAGAUAAUGACGGUAACCGGAGAAGAAGCCCCGGCUAACUUCGGGCCAGCAGCCGCGGUAAUACGAAGGGGGCUAGCGUUGUUCGGAUUUACUGGGCGUAAAGCGCACGUAGGCGGACUUUUAAGUCAGGGGUGAAAUCCCGGGGCUCAACCCCGGAACUGCCUUUGAUACUGGAAGUCUUGAGUAUGGUAGAGGUGAGUGGAAUUCCGAGUGUAGAGGUGAAAUUCGUAGAUAUUCGGAGGAACACCAGUGGCGAAGGCGGCUCACUGGACCAUUACUGACGCUGAGGUGCGAAAGCGUGGGGAGCAAACAGG